CAAUAUUUUGGUGAAUGUACAUAUACUCCAAGUAUGUUUUCUCUAAACUUUUAUAUAAGUUAUGUGCUUCUCUUUGAUUUACUCUUGCAUCUCAUGCUUCUAGUUCUUGAAGUAAUAAUAAGUUCGUAUCAACAGGCAAAGAGAGAGAAGGUACAUAUUCUAAUUGAUAUGGUGCAAAUCAUGAAAGGGCGUCAACAAAUCAUUCUUGGACACGAGAAAAGGAAAGAAAACCAGAAGUUCAAUGACGUAUGAAUAGUCAUCUGAUAGGUUAACAACUCUUAGUUGUAUAUUGCAAAAGCCUUUAUCUGUGAUUCUUCUGAUCUGAAAAUUUGUCUUUGAACAAUGCAAACUUGCAUCUCUCAUCAGCACGAGCCGAAGUGCUCAAACUACGUACUAAUUCCCUGUCACAGUGUAAUUAUCGUCGAGUUCAACACAUUUCAGUCUAAAAUAUCAAAGUUAUCACUGCAUUACUAACUACAGGAAGAAGUGAUCUACUAUCUUGAUUCUAUUUAUCCUCGUGCAUAAUUCAAUCAUGACAUCUUAAGAUGUAAAAUGUAGAAAAUCAUUUAUUGGCAUUCCAUUAAUUUACCUCUACUCGUGGAGUAUGAAUAGCUUGAAUUUUGAGCAGCAGCCACCCUUUCUUUACGAAGCCUAAGAUCAUGCAGUAGCUUCUGAGCGAAAUCCGACUUAGCUGACAUUUUGUUGUCUUACUUCACUCUGAAUGUGGAACAGUUUUGGACUAAACCUCCAUAAGGAAACUGCAAAAUCAAUAAAAGCAAAUAAAUGUAAAAAGAAGAAUAUUCUUAGAUUGUGUUGCAGGUCAAUUUCCUAGUAGAUUGGUAAGGUAUAGGAAUGUAAUGUGAAGUUGUUAUGUCACUUUGGUGAGAAGGCUUUUUCAGUGUUGGGUAGGGUGGAUAGUUGGGAAAAAAGCUAUAAUAUUUGAGGUUGAAAAAAAAAAAUUGUUAAUCACACACCACUUGAGAAGAUUGACGUGAAAGUUAGCUCUCUCACUCACUGUUUUUCUCUAUCAAAAACAUUGUGGUUGCUUGGCUUUCAUUCUAAUCCAAGCAAUGUAUUGUAUGGGCACCAAAUAGCUUCACACAAAAGAUUUCUUUAUGAACAAUGAACAAUCUCCUUUCUGGAGAGGGCAACUCAGUGUACUAAGCUCCUCUCAUGCGCGGGGCCCAGAGAAGGGUCAGGCCACAACGGUCUAUUGUACGCAGUUUUAUCCUGUAUUUCUACAAAAUGUUGUUUCCACGGCUCGAAUCCGUGACCUCCUGAUCACAUUUACCUUUCUGGAAUUUUUUUUAAAAAAAAUUAAAAAUUUACUCACGGUCAAUUUUUACACCAAAAUCCAAAUCGACUAAUAGAUGGACGUGUGCCUUUCACGUAUAUUUUUAUCACUAAUCAUAGUUAAUUAGUAUGUAUUCUCACUUCCAUCCUUGAUAAACUACUAUAAUCUGGUAUAAACACCGGGUGUGAAUAAGUUUUGUUCUUUUUUUCGUUCUAUUAUCAACUUUCGUUAGCUUAAAGGUGGUCUCUAGUCAGAGGCGCAUACAAGAUUUAAACUUUAUGUGUUCAACUUUUAAAGCUUUUAGUUUUGAACUUAUUAGUAUUAUUUUAAAUUUGAGUUUGUAUAUACUAUAUGUUGCCAUUUUAAUGAAAUUUUACACAAAAUUAUGGUCCCGUACCGAAAGUACUGGGUUCAGAUGAACCCGAUACCAAGGGCUAGAUCUGCCCGUCUCUAGUAUGGGCAUAACAUGGUUUUGGCCUGUUACAAUAGCUAGAAGAAUGAUCUAGCUCUUUUUUUGCUUUUCAACAGCUGAAAUGUUGGAGGAUUUGCAGCUUUCAAUUAGGGUAUGGGUUGGCUACCUUUUACUAAAGCUACUGUGAGUUAUGCUGGAAUGGGAGAUGAUCUAAAUACAAAUAUUCAAGUGAGAGAUGAUAAAAUUCCAUUUAACAGGUAAUGUGUGUUCCUUUUUUAGAAGGUUUAUGAACCUAAAUAGUUUUUUUCUCCCUCUCUAUAGCUUGUUUUGAUGGUUGUUACAUGUUAUAUUGUAUCGUAUUGUUACUUUAGAUAUAGUGUUUGUUUUGAUUGUUACUUUAACUUUAUUGUAUCGUAUCAUUAAAUCGGAGGUUACGUAACGACGAAAAGUGCCACUUUAUUGAACGACCGAUUUGAUGUGGUCGCAUCACUCCCUUAUUUUUUUCUCUAAUCUUGCCCU
Molecule: long non-coding RNA, 2225 nt
Filed under: Nicotiana tabacum (common tobacco)
Lineage: Eukaryota; Viridiplantae; Streptophyta; Magnoliopsida; Solanales; Solanaceae
Description: long non-coding RNA (NTAB_LNC015153)
Source: RNAcentral